This 52-nucleotide small RNA is filed under the name Flavobacterium sp. 102. RNAcentral's name for it is "Flavo-1 RNA". Lineage: Bacteria; Pseudomonadati; Bacteroidota; Flavobacteriia; Flavobacteriales; Flavobacteriaceae. The record is from RNAcentral.
AAUUAGCCCCGAUUGACGCAACUGCCAUGCAGUGCAAAAAGCGGGAAAAUGG